RNAcentral lists this ribosomal RNA (489 nucleotides) under uncultured bacterium. RNAcentral describes it as "bacterial SSU rRNA". It matches the Rfam family "Bacterial small subunit ribosomal RNA", at positions 38 to 507 of the family's 1533-position model. The record is from RNAcentral.
GGCGGCGUGCCUAAUACAUGCAAGUCGAACGAGAGCGACCGGUGCUUGCACUGGUCAAUCUAGUGGCGAACGGGUGAGUAACACGUGGGUAACCUGCCCAUCAGAGGGGGAUAACAUUCGGAAACGGAUGCUAAAACCGCAUAGGUUCUUUAGUCGCAUGACUGAAGAAGGAAAAAGAGGCUUCGGCUUCUGCUGAUGGAUGGACCCGCGGUGCAUUAGCUAGUUGGUGAGGUAACGGCUCACCAAGGCGAUGAUGCAUAGCCGACCUGAGAGGGUGAUCGGCCACAUUGGGACUGAGACACGGCCCAAACUCCUACGGGAGGCAGCAGUAGGGAAUCUUCCGCAAUGGACGCAAGUCUGACGGAGCAACGCCGCGUGAGUGAAGAAGGAUUUCGGUUCGUAAAACUCUGUUGUUAGAGAAGAACAGCGCAUAGAGUAACUGUUAUGCGUGUGACGGUAUCUAACCAGAAAGCCACGGCUAACUACGUG